AAUCCUGGCUCAGGAUGAACGCUAGCUACAGGCUUAACACAUGCAAGUCGAGGGGCAGCAUGGUCUUAGCUUGCUAAGGCCGAUGGCGACCGGCGCACGGGUGAGUAACACGUAUCCAACCUGUCGUCUACUCUUGGACAGCCUUCUGAAAGGAAGAUUAAUACAAGAUGGCAUCAUGAGUCCGCAUGUUCACAUGAUUAAAGGUAUUCCGGUAGACGAUGGGGAUGCG
RNAcentral lists this ribosomal RNA (229 nucleotides) under uncultured bacterium. RNAcentral's name for it is "partial 16S ribosomal RNA". It matches the Rfam family "Bacterial small subunit ribosomal RNA", at positions 15 to 235 of the family's 1533-position model. The record is from RNAcentral.